This 600-nucleotide ribosomal RNA is filed under the name uncultured bacterium. RNAcentral describes it as "bacterial SSU rRNA". It matches the Rfam family "Bacterial small subunit ribosomal RNA", at positions 728 to 1328 of the family's 1533-position model. The record is from RNAcentral.
UCCAGCACACUACUGACGCUCAUGCACGAAAGCGUGGGUAUCGAACAGGAUUAGAUACCCUGGUAGUCCACGCGGUAAACGAUGAUAACUAGUUAUCCGGCUAAAUUGGUAGCUGGGUGACCGAGCGAAAGCGUUAAGUUAUCCACCUGGGGAGUACGCCGGCAACGGUGAAACUCAAAGGAAUUGACGGGGGCCCGCACAAGCGGAGGAACAUGUGGUUUAAUUCGAUGAUACGCGAGGAACCUUACCCGGGCUCAAACGCAAGGCGCUACACCCUGAAAGGGGUGGUUCUUCGGACGUCUUGCGAGGUGCUGCAUGGUUGUCGUCAGCUCGUGCCGUGAGGUGUCGGCUUAAGUGCCAUAACGAGCGCAACCCCCAUCUUCAGUUGCCAUCGGUUCAAGCCGGGCACUCUGGAGAGACUGCCGGCGCAAGCUGUGAGGAAGGCGGGGAUGACGUCAAAUCAGCACGGCCCUUACGUCCGGGGCGACACACGUGUUACAAUGGCGGGGUGACAGCGGGAAGCCAGGCGGCGACGCCGAGCCGAUCCCGAAAACCCGUCUCAGUUCGGAUCGGAGUCUGCAACCCGACUCCGUGAAGCUG